RNAcentral lists this long non-coding RNA (995 nucleotides) under Neogobius melanostomus (round goby). RNAcentral's name for it is "lncRNA (ENSNMLG00000018694.1)". The record is from RNAcentral. Lineage: Eukaryota; Metazoa; Chordata; Actinopteri; Gobiiformes; Gobiidae.
CCUCUGUCCCACCUACCGUCACCUCUGCCACCUCUUCCCGACCUCCCGUUACCUCUGCCCCACCUACCGUUACCUCUGCUCCGCCUCCCCUUACCUCUGCCCCGCCUCCCGUUACCUCUGUCCCGCCUCCUGGCCAAAGUGCAGCGUUGGAUUUGUCUCGGCUAAAACUAAAUUUUGGCCAAGUCGGCGCCAACCCCUCGGGCUCUGUGCCCCGCCGUGUCCCAGCCCCCUCUCAGAAACAAGAUGUCCGCCAGUUUCGAAACCCGCCGGCAGCGCAGAAGGUUCAUGUGGUCAACGUUUAUCCCAAAGCAGAGACGCUGGAUCUCCAGGACAAGGCGGGAUGCCCACCGUCUCACGGAGAUGGAGAGGCUUCCUCUAAUUCAGAAGCUCAUUGGGAUCAUAACUACGGCUCGCCCCAUCGCAGGGCUCCACCUGUGUCCUCACACAGUUACAGAGCUCUGUUUGUGCCCUCACCCAGUCACAGAGCUCUGUGUGUGCCCUCACCCAAUAAGAGCACUCCAUCUGUGCCCUCACCCAAUCAGAGCACUCCAUCUGUGCCCUCACCCAAUCAGAGCACUCCAUCUGUGCCCUCACCCAAUCAGAGCACUCCGUCUGUGCCCAAUCGGAGAAGAAAGAAGCGUGGCAGGGCUGAGGGCGCAGAGGAGACAUGUCCAGAGGAGGUGUGUCCAGAGGAGCCGAGUCCAGAAGGGAAGAGGAGGAGGAAGCCGACCAUGAAGGCACAGGCUCUUCAGCAGGACCAGGUCAGUUCAACAAUCUUCCAAAACAUCUACUAUAUCUCUCUAAAACAUGACGUGGUAGCAUUAGGAGUAGUAGUAAAACAUCUGCAAUAUCCCUUAAAACCAUCUGCAAUAUACAAUAUAUCCCCAAAACAUCUACAAUAUCUCCCCAAAACAUGUACAAUAUCUCUCCAAAAUAUCUAUAAUAUCUCCCCAAAACAUCUACUAUGUCUCCCUAAAGCAUCUACAAUAUCUCCC